GGUCUUGAACCUGUGAGGCACAUUGCGAAGAUACCUAAUCGUUCCAGUUCCUGUAGUCUUUCUACGGAUUGCCUUCACACUCCAGUUGUAGGUCCUCUUGCGAGCGGCAGGGUAAGCACAGGUGGAGCUACAGCUCUUCUGGAUGUGGAAGCUGCGACGGCCACAUCUCACACAGAGAGUGUGACUCUUGUUCCUCCUCUUUCCGAAACUCCAUGUUCCCUUCGUCAUUUAAGCGGAUGCGCGUUAACAAAACUUUAACAAAAAUAUAAGGUAUAAUAUACUGCAAUCUAAAUCAGAGUUGUCAGCAAAAUCUAACACUUUUGAGAAAAAUGUAUAAAAGAAAAAUAAUACACAGGGGAGGGUGUCAAUAAACCGUAGGUAUGGCGACGGUGACAUAAACAAAACCGGUCUCUUCUGACCAACUAUCAUAUGUUGUGAGUACUGUCAAAAGAAUAUGUUCCCAAAAUUCUGUUUUUUUUUUGUGUUCCAAGAAAGAGAAUUAUGAGUAAUGGCUCUAAUAGCAAACCUCUGGACCAUCUGGAGUAUAAUAAGUUUGUUUAGACCAAGCUGUGGAUGUUUUCCAGCGAAUGCGGCCCCAUCUACCAAUUACAUUUUUUUUUGUGAAUCAGAAACAUUUCAUUAGAUUAGAUCAUAAUAAUUUAGGCACGGCAAACAAAACGUUAGGCUGAGGGUGGACUUUUCUGAAGAAUAAAUAAUAAGAAAUAAGAACCAAUAAAAAGCUUGGUCAUAGUAUUGGACGACUUGAUGCUGGGGAAGUUGCAUAGUUGAAUUUUAGAUCAAAUCAACAUAGGAGAGUCGGACAGUGACACCUGUUCGAAGCCAUAAGCUCGCCACCUUGUGAUUAAUCCUAACAAAUCUGAAAAGAGAAGGGAAGCUAUUUUUUUCCAUAUCACCGGAGUUACCUUAGCUAUAAGAAGAAGCAGAUGACUUUGGCGGUGGUGCUACAUCGACCGCUUUCAAGUAAGCUAGGAAGACAGAUGAGUUCGACAUUCUCCUAAAGGAAAGUUGUCUGAGUUGUAAUGGAUGAAAGGAUGAUGCUAAGGGAAUGAAGACUAACCUUUUUAUACACGGAGAAUCACCGACUGAAAGAGCAGGCAGGUGCAUUGAAUGAUGAAUCGUGGUAAGAGUGAGAUUUAGGAGUUAAGAUGGUCGUUAAUGACAACGACUAAAAGCAUCUCAGUCAUCCCGUAACGAUUCGAAUUCCCAAUACCACAAAAUAAAUACAGUCCAAAGGACAUAAACAACAAAUCGCUCAAGAGAUUUUUCGUAAGAAGUCGUCUCCCAUAACCUUCCAGAAUCUCCAUGGUCGUUUAUGAAAUCAGAACCUGAAGAACACGAAGAACCCUACAAAGCUAUGAAGCAAGUUGUCAAAGACGAAGAGGUGUUUAUUAGAUUUUAGAUAAUAGGUUCGACCAGUCGUUAUUAAAGAUUGGUGAGCCCAUUUAUAAGACUUGUAAAGCCCACAUAUAAAAGCCUAACACACUCGGGAAUUAAUGAAACGGAGCGUCUUGCUCGGAUAGACAGGUGUCGACUCCACAGCUUCCGAAUUGAUGACCUGGAAUCCGACGUGAACCCCCUAGGAGAGAAGGAAACCCUUCUUUAUAUAUAUAUAGAUAGAUAGAUAGAUAACUCCAUGCAUGCAACAACGAGAGAGAGAGAGAGAGAUUGAGAGAAAUAUAACUACUGCGUGGUAUAUCAAAUUUGUCAUUUAUUUUCAUUUUUCUUUAGUUUCAACAUCUUACAAGGGCUCCUUUUACAUUUUGGAGCCACAAGUUACAGUAUCUUUGGCAAUUGACACGAAAAUAAAAUUAAAAGAAAACACACACACAUACAAAGAAGCGAUCCUUUUGGUGCCUAUUUACGGAUAAAAACCUUUCUUGAGUAAUAAAUUCACAAGAAAAUAACCUAUCUCUUUUUUUUUUUUACGAAUAAAGAGUUAAACCCAAAUAUAUUAAAGACACAGACCUAACUCCCGGGUAGGAGGUGAAAAUAACCUAUUUCUAUAGUAAAAUGUGAAUAAGAAGUUGUCCUUAUUUUAUAUGCAUCCGUCAGAGUUGCGGUUGGACCAAAAUAGUAUGUUUAAUGUGUAACUUAUGUUCACCCAUAUUGGUAUUCUCCUCAUUCCAUACUCCCCACUACACCAAGAUGCUUGCAAGCCUCAAUAUCGACUUGAACGGUGCGUUUUGACCCCCUGCCGUGACAUGAACCUUCUCAAACGCUACCAACUGCUUGUUCACACCCAAUCCUUUUAUCCCGUUCUCCGGCGGCUCGGCAAAGGCGAACACCGUGUGAGUUUCAUCAAAUUCACCGGUGUUUGACACUCAACGUGGAGAUGCAUUUUUGGAAACGUUUCACAGUUGGCAUGAGACACUUUGAUAAUUGAGCUAGUGGGUUUUGAGCCAAACUGUGAGUGAAGGUAGUGUAACUUAAACCGAACCCAAAUGGAAACACCACUGGACCUUUGUAGAAACUGUAAGUCCUUCCUGGGUAGUUUCCAGAUGCUCUCAUUGUCAUUAUUGUGAUUGGAAGUUCUGUCACGUAGUCUUGUGGAUACCAUGUCAAUGGUAGUUUACCUCCUAUCAUAUUUGAUCUGAUUAUGUAUAUUAUGUUUUUAGUUUCUUAUAGAUUUUGUUUUUAAUUUCUUAUACACUUUUUUUGGGGUAAAAUUCUUAUACACUUUCUUUCUUAUAUACUUUGUUUUCUCUCAUUUGUAUGAUUCUCUUGCCUUUAGAUAAUUUUGUAAAAAUCAUGAUGUUAUUAGAUUGUAAUUUAGAUAAAUCUCAUGUUUAUAAUCUUUACUAUUAUCACAAUUCACAGAUUCUUAAUUCAAUUUGACUAAAUGCACCAAUAUUAGCUUUAACAUCUUCUGAUCUGUUUGGCUAUACUCUGGAUUUAUUUUGUUCCAUUCACAUUCAUUUUUGAUUAAGUUAAUGAUCCAUUUCAACAAGUAUUUGACUAUUUGUGAACAAUCAUGGCAUCUAAGCCGAAACAAACUCUAACUAACACUACAAGAAAACAGCGGUAUUCCGACGGACAUUCCGACGGAAAAUGAAAUCCUCGGAAUAUCCCGAGGAAUUUCCGAGGAAAUUCCGAGGAAGCACAAAAUUGGGUUUCCUCGGAAUUUCCUCGGAAUAUACCGACGGAAUUCCGAGGAAAUAUCAGUCCGUCGGAAUAUUCCGAGGAAAUUCCGAGGAAAAAUGUGUUCCUCGGAAAAAACCGAUGAAUUCCGAGGAAAUAUUAUAGCCGUUGGNNNNNNNNNNNNNNNNNNNNNNNNNNNNNNUAGGCCUGGGCAUUCGGGGUCCCAAUCGGGUUUCGGUUUUAUCCAAUCGGGUUUCGGUUUUUCGAGUUUAUCAAAAUCAGCCCCAUUCGGAUUAUAUGAAAGUUCGGUUCGGGACCGGUUCGGAUUCUAUCGGGUUCGGGUCGGGGUUAGUAAAUCUUCAAAGAACCGACACAAUCCAAUAUACUUUCGGGUUCGGGUCCCAAUCGGUUUUUCGGUUUAAAAGUACCUGAUUUUUACCUAUUUUAUAACCAAAACAUGAGUAAAAUCACUUCUUCAGUUUUAAAAUACUUGAUUCGUACUUAUUUUGUAACCAAAACUUAAGUAAAAUCGAUUCAAAAAUAAGGAACAUCAACCAUGAUCAUUCAAAAUCAAACGAAAAGUAAACGUAUUUACUGAUAAAAAGAAAACCAAAUAAAUAAAAUCAUAAAACGAAAACCAAGUUGAGAAACAUUGUUUAACGAAAACAAAAUCUAAAUCUAAAUACUUUAAAAUUUAACGGCCAUCUUCAACCAUCAACCUUAAUGUAACAAAACCACCAACAUUUAUGUAAUAGAACCACCAACCUUCAUGUAAUAGAUAAGUAUUUUAGAUGUCCAAUAUUUCUUAGUGUAUUUUGGAUACAUAUUAGGAAUUGAGAUCAUGUUUGGUACAAGAUCUUUUCGAGGUUUUGAAUGUUUCGGGUUCUAUCGGAUAUCCAUUUAGAUUCGGGUUCGGUUCGGAUAAUACCCAUAACCCGAAAUACCACAAAACAAGAUCCAUUCGGUAUUUACGUCGGGUUCGGAUCGGUUCGGAUUCAUUUUUAUCGGAUCGGAUUCGGUUCGGGUUAUCGGGUUCGGUUUAUUUGCCCAGCCCUAGGUGGAGCAACAGCUCUUCUGGAUGUGGAAGCUGCGACGGCCACAUCUCACACAGAGAGUGUGACUCUUGUUCCUCCUCUUUCCGAAACUCCAUGUUCCCUUCGUCAUUUAAGCGGAUGCGCGUUAACAAAACUUUAACAAAAAUAUAAGGUAUAAUAUACUGCAAUCUAAAUCAGAGUUGUCAGCAAAAUCUAACACUUUUGAGAAAAAUGUAUAAAAGAAAAAUAAUACACAGGGGAGGGUGUCAAUAAACCGUAGGUAUGGCGACGGUGACAUAAACAAAACCGGUCU
RNAcentral lists this long non-coding RNA (4446 nucleotides) under Brassica napus (rape). RNAcentral describes it as "long non-coding RNA (BNAP_LNC001801)". Lineage: Eukaryota; Viridiplantae; Streptophyta; Magnoliopsida; Brassicales; Brassicaceae. The record is from RNAcentral.